UUACUUUCAGGGCUGCAGUCUAUUGGCUCUCUGGACUGAAAACUGGACCCGCAAAACAUGUUCCCUGCAAUUGCAGCGUUUAUCUCAUCUGGAAAAGUGCUCACCCAUUGCUGCCCCUUACAAGCCAAACCAAGCAGUUAAAGUGUCACUUAACAUUCUAGAGAAUGUGAAAUAUAUUGUACAUUGUCAACUCCCCAAAACCAUAAAACUAACUUUAUGGACCUCACGUGACUUUUGAGAGCCAGUGAGGGGUAUCUGUCUGAGGUCUGGGCGAUUUUUACGAUCUAACUUCUAGAUAAAACCCUAUCCAUUUGACAUCUAAAUGUCAUACCCACUUUUGGUAUAGUUUGCUAUUGGUAAAAAAAAAAAAAAAAAGGAAAAAAAAAAAAUACCAAGGAAAGGCGAGCAAAUGGUUUGGGAUCUGACAGUCCACUUCACAUCCCUCUCAAAAUCACUUAAGAAGUACCUAAACAGAGGGAGAUUAAGUUUGAGUUUCCCUCGGUGCAUGGCGUGGACCCAAACUUACGUAGAUCGGCUUUAUUGGUAUGCGAGGAAAACAAAUAUGGGAUUGAAAGAUUGAACGAUGGCUGGAGAAGAACGAGGAGAAAAAAAAGCAUCGGAUGAAAGCCUGAAGUUCACAGCUUUGCAGGAGCCGCACCGCUCAGACAUUUGAUUAGAGUUACGCAAUAUUGAUAGCGCUACCAAAACAGCGACUGUCUGACAAGAUCGGCUCCGCAUGCAAAUUCUGAGCUAAGAAAUGGGAUGUCCUGAUAAUUCCGUGCGUGAGUACAUCUGCUGAAAUGUUUGCUCUAAUAUUUGCUCACAGUUCUCACGGUUGAUGUGCGAAUAAAUGCCUCGAAAUAGUUUGGACACCCCCUCGCCUCCCUCCCCCUCCUUUCCCCCCUCGGAUUUGCCGUAGUAAAAUACUGCUUAUAUUGUGCACUUAUGGCUAAAGAAGGUUAUUAGGGCGGUUUAUAUGUCGACAUCAUGUAAGAGAUCAAAACGCAUUGCAACUGGCCACUUGCUAAUUGCUUGUUGCUGACAUUAUAGACGCUCUAUAGAUGAAAUGAAUACAUCUUGCUUCUUAGGAGAAGGGCGAAGCCUCUCUUGGCCCCCGCAAAUGGGGAGAAAAAGGAGAAGAGAGGACACGAUUUCCAAACCGAAAAAUAGAUAUAUCCAAAAACAUAAAGAGUGUAACAGUGUUCAUCUUCCGAAGGGUCCGGCCAGAGGAAUAAUUGGUUUGCCACCUAAAAUGAAUGCGAACACGAAAGGGGACCUUACACUAUGUUGUAUCCUAGAGAACCGUACCUUCAGCACGGAGGUGGUUUCUAUUCCCAUGUAAAUGGCUCUGGCAAAAUAAAGGGCUGAAUAAAGAAAUGAAUGGAAGGUGGCUUAUGGGCAUGGCCACUUCGCAGACACUCUCCUGCCUUUCCCGAUAUAAAUCUGAGACCUAUUUCGCGAAUCUCUUUUCUUUGGCCGCCUCCAGCGCCAGCCAAACCGGGAGGGACACAGACACAGAGCAUAAAGGACUCAGCAGCAAGCUCGUACAGUAGCCCAUAAGUUAGGUCUCUCUCUGACAGUGCCCAUUGGCAUAUCUUUAUUCAGCCUUUGGCCUCAUCUCCUCAAAAACAGGCUCAGAGAAGGGGCAAUAAAGAGGGAAAGUCGCAGGAGACGCCAGAAGGUGGUAGAGAGCGUUUCACUGAGCGCUGGGAACCCGUCUUUGCUCUCUGACUGACAUCACUCAGCUGGCAGGGCAUCAAUAAAGAUAAAGGGACGGAUUUACAGUACGCACAAUCACGGCUAUCUGCCCAGGAAGGUCCUACUUUUCUCUUGCUUCGCUUUUUCUGGCCAGCAAACGUCAUCCCCACAAAGCAGAGGGAGGCAGAUAGAUGAGGGGAUUAAAACAACACCCAAAUAUUUCGAAAUGCAAACAGAACAGAGCAUUUCUUGUGCUAGAGUUAAACCGCCUAAGAACUUGGUGGAAAGUUCAGUGCAGUUGGUUCCAAUAAAAAAUGAAACUCUUUUUUCAUGUGGAGCUGGAAUUCCCGAUCCUUCUGAAGUGAGAACACAGCGGGGGUUUCCCUACCCGGGGACUUAUUGCAGCCAUAAAGUCAAGCAAACACCACGAAAACACUUGAAAAAAACCCUUGUUCCUGGAGUCAGACAUAGAAAGCAGUUGGCAGCAGAGCAGCCUCUCUGUAAUGCUCAGCCACAGCCAAAUCACAUCGGGGGGAAACCCGACAGAAGUCCUCUGUGCUCCGCUGUUACCGUGUUUAAAACAAUGAGCCCUGAAGGUGUAAAAUAAAUACCCCCCUCUCC
Long non-coding RNA from Coturnix japonica (Japanese quail), 2319 nucleotides. RefSeq lists it as uncharacterized. Lineage: Eukaryota; Metazoa; Chordata; Aves; Galliformes; Phasianidae. The record is from RefSeq and is a predicted model, not a curated record.